GUGAAAUCCUAACUUUGCCACUUACUAGCCAUGUGAACUUGGGCAAGUGACCUAAUCCUCUGCAUUUCAUCUCUAAAUUGGGGAGAAUAGAAGCAUCUACUUCAUGUAGUAGCCAGGAUUAGAAGAGAUGGGGCCACUUGAGGGAAAAGACCUACCCAAGGGCACAUAAUCUGUACAUGAGAGAGAGCCAGAUGUAACAGACUGAGUACUGGACUUGGGGUUAAACAGACUGUGAAUCUUUCCACCCCAUUGGCAAGAAUAACUGGGCCCUGGAUAGAAUGUGAUGAAUGUAUAUUCUUAAUGAGAAGUGGAAAUAAUUUGUGGUUGAGAGCUGUGCCUCAGAUCAGAGUGACAGGAUACAUGGCUAGGCUAUAUUUUCCAGCAGAUUAAGAGCUGCGGCCCAAGACUCUGAAAUAUGAAGAAAAAAGGAGAAGAUGACAGCAUAUCUUUUUAAAGAAAUAUUUUCCAGCCAAAUGGUGUAGCAGAGGACUUCCAGGAAUUUGUUCUUGUUCUGUAUCAAAGGUGAAGAGUUCGUAGCCUUCAAGGAAACAAGAAACCAUGGGAUGGAGUGAAGGAAGGUGGCCUGGAACCAGCUGCUGAGCCUCUCUGAGCCCCAGUUUCCUCGUCUCUAAAAUGGGGCUGAUCUCCUCUCCCUCAGACUGUUGUUGCAGGAAUUAAAACAGGUGUUGAGUGGGAAAGCAUCAGUCCCAUAGCAAAUGGCCCCUGAGUAGUAGGAUCUGAGUUCUGGUUCUGGUCCUGCUGGGGUAUGGCUGGUUGAGAGGUCAAAGAGCCCCUACAGAUUCAGGACCACGGCCAGCACCCACACUGCCUUCCGUAAACACUGAGCUAAAUAAACCUAGAGCCUUGGUGAUGAGAUCAGCACUGCCUUUGUAAGUUGGUUUUCUCAACAAACAUCAACUGAACAUCUACUAAACGUAAGAGCACUCUGGCUGUCAACUGAAAACAGCAGCAGCAGCAGCAGCAGCAGCAACACCACCACCAACAACAACGACAACUGUUGCAUAUAUAACUGAAGAUCCACAGAGUCCCUCUUUCCAGUGUUAGUUGCUACAAGGAGUGAGAGAAUGAAGAUCUGACCUCAAGGAAUACAAGAGUUUUGUUCAAAGUUCCAAGACUAAGCUAUUAGAAGGGAGGGAGGGCCUGGUGCCAUGUCAUCUCUGACCAAGAGAAUUGGUAGAAUAGAAAUAAUCUAUUUCUCACGUGGUCUAGGACUUGACAAUUUACAUAGCAGUUUUAUAUCCUCUACUUCAUUUGACAUGCUCCCAUCACCCUGUGAAGCAUGUGUCAUUGUUACCACUCACUUUCCAGAUAAGGAGAGAUGGGGAGGCUCAGGGAGGUGAAUGGAUUUGCCUGAGGCCACUGGUCAGUGACUGAGCUGGGAUAGGAAUUACUUUCUCUGGUCUCUUGAUCUCACCUCUUUGUCUCACUCUUUCUGCUGCAUCUCAGUUGCUUCUGCGUCUGGCCAGACCCAAAAACAAAUCAUGUAAUUGAGUUGGAAUGUGGGUGCUGGGGCCCGGGAGACAAUGUUUUCUGCUUUUCAAUCUGUUCUUAAUUUAUUAAAGUGAUGAAAUAAGGAAGAGGCCCAGAAGGGUGGAUGUUUUCCAUCAGUGAGUCAGGGGAACAUGCAGAGGCAGAAGGUCAGGAGGAAGCUGCUGUUGCUCCAGCAGCUUCACCCACUCUGGCCAAGUCCCCACAGAUGUGCUGGUGGGGGAGACCUUCUUAGAGCUGCCCCAAGAGUAAAAUAAACCAGAAAAGAGCAAGCCCUACUGGAGACUCUCUCCCUCCCCACAAUGUUAUCUCUGACUACCCGAGCACCUUCCCUCUUAUCUGACAAAUGUCCAUUGUCUAAGGGAGAGACCGAGUGAAGGCAGGAGGAGGCCUAAUUCAGCCUGAGGAGGGUCAGGAAAGGCUUUCUAGAGAAGGUGACACUGGCACCUUAGACUUGAAAGCUGAAAAGAAGUGAUCUGGGAAAGGGGGAUGAGGAGGAGAAAGUGUUUUCCAGGUGGAGGAAAUAGCAGGUGGGAGGUUUGGAGAUAAGAGAGGGAAUGGCUGGAGCCAUCAGGGUGGAGAGAUGAGGCUGGACCGGCAGAGGGGUUGGCAGUGCUGGUAUCCAGAGGGCCUUCCAGGUCAGGUUGUUAUAUCUCCUCUGAGGAAGAGUCCUGAUUGUUAGCUCAAUUUAUGUGGUUAGGCAUAGAGAAUGGAUUGCAGGAGACAGUGGCAACCCAAGGCAAGUAAUAAAAAGGCUAGAGAGUUGGUGGGGCCUGAGUAGGGGGCAGUGGGAAUAGGGAUCAAGAGACAGAGAGGUGGAGGGACGGAUGGAAUGGAAUCUUUUUUUUUUUUUUGAGACAAUGUCUCACUCUGUCACCCAGGCUGGAGUGCCGUGAUUGCAUCACAGCACUGCAGCCUUGAUCUCCUGGGCUAAAGCAAUCCUCCCACUUCAGCCUCCUGAACAGCUGGGACUUCAGGCACAUGCCACCAUGCCCAUAUGAUAAUUUUAAUUUUUUUUUUCAUUAGAGAUGGAGUCUUGCUAUGUUGCCCUGGCUGGUUUCAAACUCCUGAGCUCAAGCAAUCCUCCUACCUCAGCCUCCCAAAGUGUUGGGAUUACAGACGUGAGCCACCACAUCCAGACUGGAAUAGAAUCUUAUUAGACUAAUGACCUUCUAGUGCAUGAUGACUGGAUGGUGGGUGGAGGAAGGAAGAGGAAGAAGCUGGCUUGGCCCAGGCCUUUGUGACUUGGCCCAGGUGGCCACUACAGACAGCUGUCUGUGUACAGUGUACAGAGGGCAAUGUUCUUGAAUUGCUGUUCAAACCCAGACUGUUUGCUUGUCAUCUGUACUAGUCAGGUUCUCCAGUGAAUCCAGAACCAGUGAAAUACACAUGCACACAUAUACACACACAAAAUAAGGAGUCAUCAUGCAGUUAUGGAAACUGAGAAGUCCCAUGAUCUGUCUCUGCAAACUGAAGACUCAAGAAUGCCAGUGGUGUGAUUCUGGUCCAAGC
RNAcentral lists this long non-coding RNA (3021 nucleotides) under Homo sapiens (human). RNAcentral's name for it is "HSALNT0292083". Lineage: Eukaryota; Metazoa; Chordata; Mammalia; Primates; Hominidae. The record is from RNAcentral.